RNAcentral lists this ribosomal RNA (472 nucleotides) under uncultured bacterium. RNAcentral describes it as "bacterial SSU rRNA". It matches the Rfam family "Bacterial small subunit ribosomal RNA", at positions 329 to 793 of the family's 1533-position model. The record is from RNAcentral.
AGCCAGACUCCUACGGGAGGCAGCAGUGGGGAAUCUUCCGCAAUGGGCGAAAGCCUGACGGAGCAACGCCGCGUGAUCGAAUGAAGGCCUUCGGGUUGUAAAGAUCUGUUGACAGGGACGAAUAAGCAAUGCGAAUAGUUUUGUGUAUGACGGUACCUGUUUAGAAAGCUCCGGCUAACUACGUGCCAGCAGCCGCGGUAAUACGUAGGGAGCAAGCGUUGUCCGGAAUUACUGGGCGUAAAGGGCGCGUAGGUGGGCGCUUAAGUCAGGUGUGAAAGCCCGCGGCCCAACCGCGGGACUGCACUGGGAACUGGCGCGCUGGAGUGCCGGAGGGGUAGGCGGAAUUCCUAGUGUAGCGGUGAAAUGCGUAGAUAUUAGGAGGAACACCAGUGGCGAAGGCGGCCUACUGGACGGUGACUGACGCUGAGGCUCGAAAGCGUGGGGAGCAAACAGGAUUAGAUACCCGUGUAAG